Molecule: ribosomal RNA, 484 nt
Filed under: uncultured bacterium
Lineage: Bacteria
Description: partial 16S ribosomal RNA
Rfam family: Bacterial small subunit ribosomal RNA
Source: RNAcentral
AUUGAACGCUGGCGGCAGGCCUAACACAUGCAAGUCGAGCGGCAGCACAGUGAUUGCUUCUUGUUUCGGCGGGCGACGGGCGGGCGAUUCAUAGGUAUCUCCCUGUUUGUGUGUGCUUACGUCCUGACAUGGGCACUCUUACCCCAUUACUCCAGACGACCUACGUGGGGGAUCAUCGGAUCUUCCGCUCUUACGUGAGCCUAGGUCGGAUUAGCUAGUUGGUGGGGUAAAGGCCCACCAAGGCGACGAUCCGUAACUGGUCUGAGAGGAUGAUCAGUCACACUGGAACUGAGACACGGUCCAGACUCCUACGGGAGGCAGCAGUGGGGAAUAUUGGACAAUGGGCGAAAGCCUGAUCCAGCCAUGCCGCGUGGGUGAAGAAGGCCUUCGGAUUGUAAAGCACUUUUGGUUGGAAAGAAAGGCAGUAAGUUAAUACCUUGCUGUUCUGACGGUACCAACAGAAUAAGCACCGGCUAACUUCGUG